GAUGAACGCUAGCUACAGGCUUAACACAUGCAAGUCGAGGGGCAGCAUGGUCUUAGCUUGCUAAGGCCGAUGGCGACCGGCGCACGGGUCAGUAACACGUAUCCAACCUGCCGUCUACUCUUGGACAGCCUUCUGAAAGGAAGAUUAAUACAAGAUGGCAUCAUGAGUUCACAUGUUCACAUGAUUAAAGGUAUUCCGGUAGACGAUGGGGAUGCGUUCCAUUAGAUAGUAGGCGGGGUAACGGCCCACCUAGUCUUCGAUGGGUAGGGGUUCUGGGAGGUAGGUAGCUCGUAUGAGAACAGGGACACGGACAAAAGGACUGAGAGAGGGAGCAGUGAGGAAUAUUGAGCAAUGGGCGAGAGUCUGAAGCAGCCGAGUAGCGUGAAAGAUGACUGCGCUAUGGGAUGUAAACUUGUUUUAUGAAGGAAUAAAGUCGGGUACGGAUACCCGAUUGAAGGUACUUGAUGAAUAAGGAUCGGCUAACUCCGUG
RNAcentral lists this ribosomal RNA (490 nucleotides) under uncultured bacterium. Its description in RNAcentral is "partial 16S ribosomal RNA". It matches the Rfam family "Bacterial small subunit ribosomal RNA", at positions 28 to 507 of the family's 1533-position model. The record is from RNAcentral.